AGCCCUGGGGGCACAGUAGGAGACUGAACCGACGGUCGUUCGCACGAAGCGUAGAACGCUGUUUUUUUUGUGGUGCUCCAAGGCCGAGGCCCCGUACCCACAUGAUGUUCCGUACUCGAGAGAUCAAGCGACCCGUCGUGUUUCGUCGGCCGGAACGCCGUUUCACGGGCGAAUGGGGCGCGAGGCACGGCGUGCGCUGUUUUGCCCACCUCGCACCGCAGACCCUUUCGGGGCAGCGGCAGAGGAUGGGAAUGGAACGAUGGUAACUGAUAGAAUGCCCUUGUGAUAGGUAGGCAACACAGGAAAACCGACGUCGGACGAGCACUUGCUCGCGCUAACAA
This 341-nucleotide unclassified non-coding RNA is filed under the name Dracocephalum peregrinum. RNAcentral describes it as "partial external transcribed spacer". The record is from RNAcentral. Lineage: Eukaryota; Viridiplantae; Streptophyta; Magnoliopsida; Lamiales; Lamiaceae.